Molecule: ribosomal RNA, 465 nt
Filed under: uncultured bacterium
Lineage: Bacteria
Description: partial 16S ribosomal RNA
Rfam family: Bacterial small subunit ribosomal RNA
Source: RNAcentral
GACGAACGCUGGCGGUGUGCUUAACACAUGCAAGUCGAACGGAAAGGCCUUCUUCUGGGGUACUCGAGUGGCGAGCGGGUGAGUAACACUUGAGUAACCCACCCAUGACCUUGGGAAAACUCCAGGAAACUAGGGCUAAUACCGGGUCGGAGCACCUGCUGUGUGGUAGGGGUGGGAAAGUUUCGGCGGUUUGGGGAGGACUCGCGGCUUAUCAGCUGGUUAGUGGGUUAGGGACUCAACAAGGCGUUGAUGGGUGAACCGCCUGAGAGGGUGAUCGGCCGCAUUGGGACUGAGAUACGGCGCAGAGUCCUCCGGGAGGCAGCGGUGGGGAGUAUUGCGCAAUGGGCGGAAGCCUGAUGCAGCGACGCCGCGUGUGGGAUAAGGGCCGUCGGGUUGUAAACCGCUUUCGCCUGUGACGAAGCGUGAGUGACAGUAAUGGGUAAAGAAGCACCGGCUAACUACGUG